AAAAAGGGCUUCUGCCAUGAAUGGCACAGGAGGAGUGGGGAACUCCACACCCCCUGCGGAAUCGCCAUCAAGAGAUUUCGGAAGCAUAAUUUUUACCACAGGGGCUGCUAGUGAUCUCAUGUCCUGGCGCCCCG
Molecule: small nuclear RNA, 134 nt
Organism: Notolabrus celidotus (New Zealand spotty)
Lineage: Eukaryota; Metazoa; Chordata; Actinopteri; Labriformes; Labridae
Product: U11 spliceosomal RNA
Exons: 1
Source: RefSeq, a predicted model, not a curated record